Molecule: ribosomal RNA, 521 nt
Filed under: uncultured Glomus
Lineage: Eukaryota; Fungi; Glomeromycota; Glomeromycetes; Glomerales; Glomeraceae
Description: SSU rRNA
Rfam family: Eukaryotic small subunit ribosomal RNA
Source: RNAcentral
AGCAGCCGCGGUAAUUCCAGCUCCAAUAGCGUAUAUUAAAGUUGUUGCAGUUAAAAAGCUCGUAGUUGAAUUUCGGGAUCAGUACGCUGGUCGUGCCUUGGUAUGUACUGGUGUUACUGGUUCCUACCUUCUGACGAACCGUCAUGUCAUUAAUUUGGUGUGGCGGGGAAUCAGGACUGUUACUUUGAAAAAAUUAGAGUGUUUAAAGCAGGCUCGCGCUUGAAUACACUAGCAUGGAAUAAUGAAAUAGGACGUUCGAUCCUAUUUUGUUGGUUUCUAGGAUUGACGUAAUGAUUAAUAGGGAUAGUUGGGGGCAUUAGUAUUCAAUUGUCAGAGGUGAAAUUCUUGGAUUUAUUGAAGACUAACUACUGCGAAAGCAUUUGCCAAGGAUGUUUUCAUUAAUCAAGAACGAAAGUUAGGGGAUCGAAGACGAUCAGAUACCGUCGUAGUCUUAACCAUAAACUAUGCCGACUAGGGAUCGGAUGAUGUUAAUUUUUUAAUGACUCAUUCGGCGCCUUACG